This 120-nucleotide ribosomal RNA is filed under the name uncultured bacterium. Its description in RNAcentral is "partial 16S ribosomal RNA". It matches the Rfam family "Bacterial small subunit ribosomal RNA", at positions 32 to 145 of the family's 1533-position model. The record is from RNAcentral.
AAUCAACGCUGGCGGCGUGCCUCAGACAUGCAAGUCGAACGCGAAAGUUCCCUUCGGGGAGCGAGUAGAGUGGCGCACGGGUGAGUAACACGUAGGUAAUCUACCUUUGGAUGGGGAAUA